Molecule: ribosomal RNA, 402 nt
Filed under: Acanthamoeba sp. HKL55
Lineage: Eukaryota; Discosea; Longamoebia; Acanthamoebidae
Description: bacterial SSU rRNA
Rfam family: Bacterial small subunit ribosomal RNA
Source: RNAcentral
GGAGAAUAUUUGACAAUGGGCGAAAGCUUGAUCGAGUAAUGUUACGUGGGUGAUCAGAAGGCUUAAUUGCUGUAAAACUCGUUUCGUCAAGGAUUAUAAUGCAAUCGUACUUGAAGGAGAAGCCCUGACUAACUUCGUGCCAGCAGUCGCGGUAAUACGGAGAGGGCAAGUGUUAUUCGCAUUGACUGGGUGUAAAGGGUGCGUAGGUGGCUUGUUAAGUUUCAAAGUAAAGGUUAAAUUCAAAGUUUAAAGGCUUUUUAAUACUAACAGGCUAGAGUUUACUAGAAGAUAGCUGAACAUUAAGUGUAAAGGUGAAAUUUUUCGAUAUUUAAAGGACAUUCAAUAGGCGAAGGCUGCUAUCUAUUUUAAUACUGACACUGAGGCACAAAAGCAUAGGGAUCA